Macadamia integrifolia is the source of this 2601-nucleotide long non-coding RNA. RefSeq lists it as uncharacterized. The record is from RefSeq and is a predicted model, not a curated record. NCBI's taxonomy places the organism in Eukaryota, Viridiplantae, Streptophyta, Magnoliopsida, Proteales, Proteaceae. The transcript is spliced from 3 exons.
CCCAAGACAUUGCCACAACCGAGUGAGGUUCAGGCCGUUGCGGAUUGCACUGGCCGGACUUUCUAAAUUACCCAAUCACGUUCCAGGUGGCUCUGAAACUCGAGGAACAUCACCGUUGUCGCUCCCGUGCUCCCUUAAUACAAUUAUAAAUCCCUCUUCCGACUCCAAGUAUCUAAUAUAAUAUCUUAGAUCAGUACCGUCUCUGCUUUGCUGAUUAAGUCUGCCCCUCCCGUAGCGGCGUAGCCCCAUUCCCGGUUUCACUUCGCUUUUGGGGGGAAAAUAGUUGCAACUCGCAGAGCAGCCUCAGCUUUGCAACCCUGUUCCUGCACUCUGGUUUCACUUCACUUUGGUCCUCUGUGGAACACGACCUAAGCUUGUCAUCUUGGACUUUGAUGCAAAGUUGUAGAAGUUUCAGGGAUGGCUGGUAGGGAAGUUCGAGAAUACACCAACCUCACCGAUCCAAAAGACAGGAAAUUGGGUAAAGGAAAGGAUAAAAUUGAUGACGAAGAUAUCACUUUCCAGCGGAUGGUGGCCAAGGUUAGCGAAUCGGACCUUCUAUCUUUUUUUUUUUUUUGGUUGGUGUUAUUAAGAUGCUUCUUUUUUUCUUCCAUGUUGAACAUAAAAAGAUAGGGUCUCUCUGCUUUUCUUGAAGCCUUCAUCUUGUUGUUUGAUUGAAAUGAAGACUUUCAGGGUGAUGAUUGGAAUCCUUGUUGAAUGAAAUGAUAAGUUCUUCAUAGCAUUUAAAAGCAUAAUUUCGUCGCUGGAAUGCAUAGAAAUACUUUCAUAUCAUGCAAUCCUUAAUUGGCCUCAUUUCUCACCUCCCUCCUAAAGUAGAUAUUUAGGAUAUUAGUUUAUUUAUUAUGAUUUAAUUUCCUUUUUGGGUUACUUUAUUAGAGUCUGAUUUGUAACAGGUUACUCCCAUUACAGCAUACUUAUGGAGGGUUUCCUUAUUUUCCUUAUUUGAGUUAUCUGUUUUAGGUCUUUAGUUUCUUAUUUAUAUGGAUGUAAUUCAAUUUAGAAUUGAAGAAUUGAAGAAUGGAAUAUUGAGUUUUGUUUAAUAGUAGUCUCUGUGGCUUAUGGCAGCUUGGCUGUCGUCCUCUUCUCCUUGCCCCUCCCUAUGAUUCUGAUUCUUUCCUUCCCUCAAGGUCUGUUUUCACUAACCUUCUUCUUAAUCUUUCUAUAUCUCUUUCUUUCCCUAUUUCUGUUUCUUUCUCUUAUUUUCUCCCCCCCCCCCGCGCCGCUGUUUAAUCCCCGAUGUUUUGUUAGUUUCCUGCUACUAGUGACGAAACAUAAACCUAUGAAGAGGUCAUCGACCUAACAUAGCUCACUGAUUUGGUCUGAGAUUUGGGGCAAUAAUCUCCUUUAUUGGGCAAUAGGAACCCUAGAAUACCAGUCCGAGAGUGCACUCUGUAGUUAGAAUCGAUUUCAACAAGAACCUGGUUCUCCUUCUUCCACUAGGUUCAACCUUCUUUGGCUAAACACCACCAUGAAUCACUUGUUGUCUGGGUGCCUCUUGGUCGAUUAUCAGAGACCUAAGUGUGAGGAUCCACCUGAAAUUUCUGGCCAGUCUAUGGGUGUAAGGAGUUCUUCCCUUCAAGGUAGCUGAUGUUUUCCGCCUCCCUGUUUUGUCUGGAGGUAGGGGACGAGCGAUCCCCCUCCCCUCUUUCUUUGAUAUUUUAAUUAUUUACUCUUUAUUACCAAGAUUACCCCACAUAUACCUUUAAUUUAUUUCAUUCCAAGUCUAUCCUCACUUUACAAUUCUAAUCACCUUCUAACCCCACAUAUACCUUUAAUUUAUUUCCUUCCAAAUCUAUCCUCACUUUAUAAUUCUAAUCACCUUGUAUCCCUUCCCCUAUUACUAUCAAUUGCCAUCGAGAUUCUGGUUAUUUACGGUACUGCCACUACCCUUGCAAACGUGGAGUUUUGUACAGAAUUGCCAUUAUUUAUCUACUUUUGGAUAUUUACACCUGGGUGGACCCAUAGCGAACCCAACAGUGUUUCCGAAUACCGAAAUUGCAUCACCUCCCCUGGUGAGCUGUCAUGAAACAACUUUCGACUUUGAAACUGUGCAUUCAUAUGCAUGAAAAAUAAAACAUAUCUGACGAUUUCCAGAUGCCCAUAAAGUCUAUAUCUGGUGACUGUACUUUGAUGGAUAGUCCGAGGUCCUUUGAUAACCAGAUCAUUUUUGGUUGAACAGGACAAAUUUUGUUCACUCAUUAUGCUUUGAAAUUGUGGUAUCUCAAUAAAGAGAAAAGAACCUUUGAUUAGAGAGAAUACUUAGUAGUCUGUUCAUCUGUUGGUUUUGAGAAGGCCCUGCUGAACUAUUUUCUUGGUAAUAGAUGAUUUCAGCUAAAUAAUCUAACAGCUCUUCCACCGAGUUUUUGGACAUUGAAUGUAUACAAGUAUAUUAGUCAAACUGUUUCAGAUACAAAUCAUACAGUGUCCAUUUUCAUCUUAUCCUCCAUCUGACUAGACUUUGUGAUGCAGAUUAAUUACCAAAAUAGGUUUGUUUUAUUAGGAAUAAGCCUAGGGUUGGGUUCUAUACAUGUUAGGCUUUUGAUCCCAUGUGUUUUGAGUGUAAUAGACCACUUUUAUGGGUCU